GGGUGCGAACUUACCAGGACUAAUGCAUCGGAUCCCAUCAGAACUCCGCAGUUAAGCGUGCCUGUGCGAGAGUAAUACUAGCAUGGGUAACUUCCUGGGAAGUCCUCGAGUUGCACCCC
Molecule: non-coding RNA, 119 nt
Organism: Gossypium raimondii (Peruvian cotton)
Lineage: Eukaryota; Viridiplantae; Streptophyta; Magnoliopsida; Malvales; Malvaceae
Source: Rfam